GAUGAACGCUGGCGGCGUGCUUAACACAUGCAAGUCGAACGAUGAAGCCCAGCUUGCUGGGUGGAUUAGUGGCGAACGGGUGAGUAACACGUGAGUAACCUGCCCUUGACUCUGGGAUAAGCCUGGGAAACUGGGUCUAAUACUGGAUAUGACUUCUCAUCGCAUGGUGGGGGGUGGAAAGAUUUAUUGGUCUUGGAUGGACUCGCGGCCUAUCAGCUUGUUGGUGAGGUAAUGGCUCACCAAGGCGACGACGGGUAGCCGGCCUGAGAGGGUGACCGGCCACACUGGGACUGAGACACGGCCCAGACUCCUACGGGAGGCAGCAGUGGGGAAUAUUGCACAAUGGGCGCAAGCCUGAUGCAGCGACGCCGCGUGAGAGAUGACGGCCUUCGGGUUGUAAACCUCUUUCAGUAGGGAAGAAGCGAGAGUGACGGUACCUGCAGAAGAAGCGCCGGCUAACUACGUG
RNAcentral lists this ribosomal RNA (466 nucleotides) under uncultured bacterium. Its description in RNAcentral is "partial 16S ribosomal RNA". It matches the Rfam family "Bacterial small subunit ribosomal RNA", at positions 28 to 507 of the family's 1533-position model. The record is from RNAcentral.